GCCGGGUGUGGUGGUGCACACCUGUAGUCCCAGUUACUCAGGAGGCUGAGGCAGGAGAAUUGCUUGAACCCAGGAGGUGGAGGUUGCAGUGAGGUGAGACCAUGCCACUGCACUCUAGUCUGGGUGACAGAGCAAGACUCCGUCUCAA
Pongo abelii (Sumatran orangutan) is the source of this 148-nucleotide unclassified non-coding RNA. It matches the Rfam family "Metazoan signal recognition particle RNA". Rfam says of the family: The signal recognition particle (SRP) is a universally conserved ribonucleoprotein. It is involved in the co-translational targeting of proteins to membranes. The record is from Ensembl. Lineage: Eukaryota; Metazoa; Chordata; Mammalia; Primates; Hominidae.